RNAcentral lists this small RNA (460 nucleotides) under Arabidopsis thaliana (thale cress). RNAcentral describes it as "ATSL080340". The record is from RNAcentral. Lineage: Eukaryota; Viridiplantae; Streptophyta; Magnoliopsida; Brassicales; Brassicaceae.
AUAUAAUUAUACUAGAUUUUAACCCGCGGUAUACCGCGGGGACAAUUUAUUUUUUAAAGUUAGUAUAUAUAAAAAUUUGUAAAUUGUAUCUAUCUAUAAAAUAUUUUAUUUUAUAGUUUACAACUGUUAUUAAGUAACGUCCUCCCAAACCCGUCUCGCAAAACCCGUUCUGCAAAAAAAACCAUUUAUUUUAUUAAUGUUGAUCUUAUUUAUGAAUCAUUGUCUAAAUAUUUUAGUCGAUGCGGGAUGUUGAACCCACACAUUUUUUCGCCAAUUGGUUAAUAUAUGUUCAUUUUUAAAAAUUUUAAUCACAAAAUAUGACGGAAAUUUUUUUGAGAUUUUUUUAAACUAUAUAUUAUAUAAUGAUGUUAAAAUUUUUGAUAUAUUAAACUUUUUAUAAGUUUAAAUAUUAAUAAUGUUUUAUAAAGUUUAAAUAUAUAAAUAUUUUAAAAUAUUUUUG